RNAcentral lists this ribosomal RNA (496 nucleotides) under uncultured bacterium. RNAcentral describes it as "partial 16S ribosomal RNA". It matches the Rfam family "Bacterial small subunit ribosomal RNA", at positions 29 to 507 of the family's 1533-position model. The record is from RNAcentral.
AUGAACGCUGGCGGCGUGCCUCAUACAUGCAAGUCGAGCGAACAGACGAGGAGCUUGCUCCUCUGACGUUAGCGGCGGACGGGUGAGUAACACGUGGAUAACCUACCUAUAAGACUGGGAUAACUUCGGGAAACCGGAGCUAAUACCGGAUAAUAUAUUGAACCGCAUGGUUCAAUAGUGAAAGACGGUUUUGCUGUCACUUAUAGAUGGAUCCGCGCCGCAUUAGCUAGUUGGUAAGGUAACGGCUUACCAAGGCAACGAUGCGUAGCCGACCUGAGAGGGUGAUCGGCCACACUGGAACUGAGACACGGUCCAGACUCCUACGGGAGGCAGCAGUAGGGAAUCUUCCGCAAUGGGCGAAAGCCUGACGGAGCAACGCCGCGUGAGUGAUGAAGGUCUUCGGAUCGUAAAACUCUGUUAUCAGGGAAGAACAAAUGUGUAAGUAACUAUGCACGUCUUGACGGUACCUAAUCAGAAAGCCACGGCUAACUACGUG